UACGUAGGGUGCAAGCGUUGUCCGGAAUUAUUGGGCGUAAAGAGCUCGUAGGCGGUUUGUUGCGUCGGCUGUGAAAUCCCGAGGCUCAACCUCGGGUCUGCAGUCGAUACGAGCAAACUAGAGUGUUGCAGGGGAGACUGGAAUUCCUGGUGUAGCGGUGAAAUGCGCAGAUAUCAGGAGGAACACCGGUGGCGAAGGCGGGGCGCUGGGCAACAACUGACGCUGAGGAGCGAAAGCGUGGGGAGCGAACAGG
Molecule: ribosomal RNA, 253 nt
Filed under: uncultured bacterium
Lineage: Bacteria
Description: partial 16S ribosomal RNA
Rfam family: Bacterial small subunit ribosomal RNA
Source: RNAcentral